Molecule: ribosomal RNA, 255 nt
Filed under: uncultured bacterium
Lineage: Bacteria
Description: partial 16S ribosomal RNA
Rfam family: Bacterial small subunit ribosomal RNA
Source: RNAcentral
UACGUAGGGUGCAAGCGUUAAUCGGAAUUACUGGGCGUAAAGCGUGCGCAGGCGGUUUUGUAAGUCUGUCGUGAAAUCCCCGGGCUCAACCUGGGAAUGGCGAUGGAGACUGCAAGGCUAGAGUUUGGCAGAGGGGGGUAGAAUUCCACGUGUAGCAGUGAAAUGCGUAGAUAUGUGGAGGAACACCGAUGGCGAAGGCAGCCCCCCUGGGUCAAAACUGACGCUCAUGACACGAAAGCGUGGGGAGCAAACAGG